ACAUUAACACUCUACCACCUGUUUCCAAAAAGCUACACUGAUUGCAAGCUUGCUCUUUGCUGGGUCAUCUCAUUGAACUGGGCCAGAUCAUGCUGGGUGUUGACCUGCCUCCGGACAGCCAAACAAGUGACAUGGGCUGUAGGAAAUAUCAGUGAUGACAAAGUGAAAGAGAUGGAGAUGCCAAGGAGGCUGUCAAGUAGCUCUUCUAAACCACAAAUUUCAACAGAUCGGCUGCAACUUUUGUUCAUGCAAAACAAGUUUUAAUACCGAGAGUUACUACAUGAGCUAAGAACAACCCUGCAUGAUGAGCAUGCUGGAAUGAAAUUCCCAGCACAGGCUGCAUCCUGUCCUGUUGCCACACUCCCUGGUUUCUUUCACCACAAUGCUGCUUGGAACAAAGCUAAAUCUGAACAAAUAAAUAAAUUAACAAUUGUUACAUCUUCCAUGAUUUCACUUUGAAAUUUUUUGUCAAUUAAAACAUGUC
Coturnix japonica (Japanese quail) is the source of this 484-nucleotide long non-coding RNA. RefSeq lists it as uncharacterized. Lineage: Eukaryota; Metazoa; Chordata; Aves; Galliformes; Phasianidae. The record is from RefSeq and is a predicted model, not a curated record.